ACAAAUUAGAGUGCUUAAAGCAGGCUACCUUCGCCUGAAUACUGUGUGCAUGGAAUAAUGGAAUAGGACCUCGGUUCUAUUUUGUUGGUUUUCGGAGCCCCGAGGUAAUGAUUAAUAGGGACAGAUGGGGGCAUUCGUAUUGCGACGUUAGAGGUGAAAUUCUUGGAUCGUUGCAAGACGGACAGAAGCGAAAGCAUUUGCCAAAAAUGUUUUCAUUAAUCAAGAACGAAAGUUAGAGGUUCGAAGGCGAUCAGAUACCGCCCUAGUUCUAACCAUAAACGAUGCCAGCCAGCGAUCCGCCGAAGUUCCUCCGAUGACUCGGCGGGCAGCUUCCGGGAAACCAAAGCUUUUGGGUUCCGGGGGAAGUAUGGUUGCAAAGCUGAAACUUAAAGGAAUUGACGGAAGGGCACCACCAGGAGUGGAGCUGCGGCUUAAUUUGACUCAACACGGGAAACCUCACCAGGCCCGGACACCGGAAGGAUUGACAGAUUGAUAGCUCUUUCUUGAUUCGGUGGGUGGUGGUGCAUGGCCGUUCUUAGUUGGUGGAGCG
This 550-nucleotide ribosomal RNA is filed under the name Bombus diversus. Its description in RNAcentral is "SSU rRNA". It matches the Rfam family "Eukaryotic small subunit ribosomal RNA", at positions 761 to 1308 of the family's 1831-position model. Lineage: Eukaryota; Metazoa; Arthropoda; Insecta; Hymenoptera; Apidae. The record is from RNAcentral.